RNAcentral lists this ribosomal RNA (254 nucleotides) under uncultured bacterium. RNAcentral's name for it is "partial 16S ribosomal RNA". It matches the Rfam family "Bacterial small subunit ribosomal RNA", at positions 524 to 776 of the family's 1533-position model. The record is from RNAcentral.
UACGUAGGGGGCAAGCGUUGUCCGGAAUUAUUGGGCGUAAAGAGCUCGUAGGCGGUUGGGCAAGUCACGUGUGAAAUCUCCACGCUCAACGUGGAGGCGUCACGUGAGACUGCCCUGACUCGAGUCCGGUAGAGGAGCGUGGAAUUCCCGGUGUAGCGGUGAAAUGCGCAGAGAUCGGGAGGAACACCCGUAGCGAAGGCGGCGCUCUGGGCCGGUACUGACGCUGAGGAGCGAAAGCGUGGGGAGCAAACAGG